This 447-nucleotide ribosomal RNA is filed under the name uncultured bacterium. RNAcentral's name for it is "partial 16S ribosomal RNA". It matches the Rfam family "Bacterial small subunit ribosomal RNA", at positions 338 to 795 of the family's 1533-position model. The record is from RNAcentral.
CCUACGGGCGGCAGCAGUCGAGAAUCAUUCACAAUGGGGGAAACCCUGAUGGUGCGACGCCGCGUGGGGGAAUGAAGGUCUUCGGAUUGUAAACCCCUGUCAUGUGGGAGCAAAUUAAAAAGAUAGUACCACAAGAGGAAGAGACGGCUAACUCUGUGCCAGCAGCCGCGGUAAUACAGAGGUCUCAAGCGUUGUUCGGAAUCACUGGGCGUAAGGCGUGCGUAGGCUGUUUCGUAAGUCGUGUGUGAAAGGCGCGGGCUCAACCCGCGGACGGCACAUGAGACUGCGAGACUAGAGUAAUGGAGGGGGAACCGGAAUUCUCGGUGUAGCAGUGAAAUGCGUAGAUAUCGAGAGGAACACUCGUGGCGAAGGCGGGUUCCUGGACAUUAACUGACGCUGAGGCACGAAGGCCAGGGGAGCGAAAGGGAUUAGAUACCCCUGGUAGUC